RNAcentral lists this ribosomal RNA (303 nucleotides) under uncultured bacterium. RNAcentral's name for it is "partial 16S ribosomal RNA". It matches the Rfam family "Bacterial small subunit ribosomal RNA", at positions 507 to 809 of the family's 1533-position model. The record is from RNAcentral.
AGCAGUAGCCACGGUAAUACGAAGGGUGCAAGCGUUACUCGGAAUUACUGGGCGUAAAGCGUGCGUAGGUGGUGGUUUAAGUCCGUUGUGAAAGCCCUGGGCUCAACCUGGGAAUUGCAGUGGAUACUGGGUCACUAGAGUGUGGUAGAGGAUAGUGGAAUUUCCGGUGUAGCAGUGAAAUGCGUAGAGAUCGGAAGGAACAUCUGUGGCGAAGGCGGCCCCCUGGACGAAGACUGACGCUCAGGUGCGAAAGCGUGGGGAGCAAACAGGAUUAGAUACCCCUGUAGUCCCUGUCUCUUAUAA